CCGGUCCCCUGCAUGGCCACAGGAGGGUGGCCAGCUGUCCCACACGAUGCUCAGCCCUGCCCUCCCGCAGG
RNAcentral lists this microRNA precursor (71 nucleotides) under Ochotona princeps (American pika). RNAcentral's name for it is "miRNA (ENSOPRG00000021207.1)". The record is from RNAcentral. Lineage: Eukaryota; Metazoa; Chordata; Mammalia; Lagomorpha; Ochotonidae.